GUGCUUGCUUUGGCAGCACACAUACUAAAAUUGGAACGAUACAGAGAAGACUAGCAUGACCCUCAUGCAUGAAUGAUACACAAAUCCAUGAAGUGUUUCAUAUUUUU
Small nuclear RNA from Phodopus roborovskii (desert hamster), 107 nucleotides. The record is from RefSeq and is a predicted model, not a curated record. Lineage: Eukaryota; Metazoa; Chordata; Mammalia; Rodentia; Cricetidae.